RNAcentral lists this ribosomal RNA (253 nucleotides) under uncultured bacterium. RNAcentral describes it as "partial 16S ribosomal RNA". It matches the Rfam family "Bacterial small subunit ribosomal RNA", at positions 524 to 776 of the family's 1533-position model. The record is from RNAcentral.
UACGUAGGUGGCAAGCGUUAUCCGGAAUUAUUGGGCGUAAAGCGCGCGCAGGCGGUUUCUUAAGUCUGAUGUGAAAGCCCACGGCUCAACCGUGGAGGGUCAUUGGAAACUGGGGAACUUGAGUGCAGAAGAGAAAAGCGGAAUUCCACGUGUAGCGGUGAAAUGCGUAGAGAUGUGGAGGAACACCAGUGGCGAAGGCGGCUUCCUGGUCCGACACCGACGUUCAGGCACGAAAGCGUGGGGAGCAAACAGG